UACGUAGGGUGCGAGCGUUGUCCGGAAUUAUUGGGCGUAAAGAGCUCGUAGGCGGUUUGUCGCGUCGGCCGUGAAAUCUCCACGCUUAACGUGGAGCGUGCGGUCGAUACGGGCAGACUUGAGUUCGGUAGGGGAGACUGGAAUUCCUGGUGUAGCGGUGAAAUGCGCAGAUAUCAGGAGGAACACCGGUGGCGAAGGCGGGUCUCUGGGCCGAUACUGACGCUGAGGAGCGAAAGUGUGGGGAGCGAACAGG
RNAcentral lists this ribosomal RNA (253 nucleotides) under uncultured bacterium. RNAcentral's name for it is "partial 16S ribosomal RNA". It matches the Rfam family "Bacterial small subunit ribosomal RNA", at positions 524 to 776 of the family's 1533-position model. The record is from RNAcentral.